This 639-nucleotide long non-coding RNA is filed under the name Calidris pugnax (ruff). RNAcentral's name for it is "lncRNA (ENSCPUG00000007946.1)". The record is from RNAcentral. Lineage: Eukaryota; Metazoa; Chordata; Aves; Charadriiformes; Scolopacidae.
UCAACUUAACAAUGAUUUACAGUGAUUUAAUACAUAUAUACGAUCUGUAAUAAGUAAAAGCUUCCAAAUGCUCUCUGUUAACAGGUGAAGAGAUCUGACCAAGAAAGGAGUUCUGCUCAUCAGACAAAGACCUGACAGCUUUUGCGGUGAAAUAAUCUGCUCUGUUCAGAAACCAGAGGAAAAACCCUCACAGCUGGUUGAGCUUUCCAGAACUCUUGGGGCUGAUCCAGAGCUCCCCUCUGCUGCGGCGAAGGGUGGUGAGGACGUGCGGCUGGAGAAGGAACUUCUUGUCUGGAGGGUCUCAGUUACAACACUUCUUUAAACCUGAUGGCCCCCAUUUUCCACGUGCCAAGCUCCCAGAAGGAGAAUAUAUAUAUAUAAAAGGUGGAGUGAGAGAAGGGGCGGACUCAUUGCCAGGAUGUAUUUAUGAUUUAGCAGAGAAGUGAGUUUUGGUAGCGCGUGCUCAACAACAACCGUGAGACUUUACGUGCCGAUAAAAAUCACUGGAGACAGCGAUGGACACUGAAGCCGGAAAUUAUCACGGUAAUUUGGCUGCCUGCCACUCUUUUACUGUCUUUUGCUAAUUUAUGUAGGGUAUUGCGUGAUGGUUGUUCGGAAAACAGACAGCUUCAUGAAUGG